UCCCUACGGGGGGCAGCAGUCGGGAAUAUUGCGCAAUGGAGGAAACUCUGACGCAGUGACGCCGCGUAUAGGAAGAAGGUUUUCGGAUUGUAAACUAUUGUCGUUAGGGAAGAUAAAAGACUGUACCUAAGGAGGAAGCCCCGGCUAACUAUGUGCCAGCAGCCGCGGUAAUACGUAGGGGGCAAGCGUUAUCCGGAUUUACUGGGUGUAAAGGGAGCGUAGACGGCUGUGCAAGUCUGAAGUGAAAUGCCGGGGCCCAACCCCGGAACUGCUUUGGAAACUGUACAGCUAGAGUGCAGGAGGGG
RNAcentral lists this ribosomal RNA (305 nucleotides) under uncultured bacterium. RNAcentral describes it as "bacterial SSU rRNA". It matches the Rfam family "Bacterial small subunit ribosomal RNA", at positions 335 to 657 of the family's 1533-position model. The record is from RNAcentral.